RNAcentral lists this ribosomal RNA (253 nucleotides) under uncultured bacterium. Its description in RNAcentral is "partial 16S ribosomal RNA". It matches the Rfam family "Bacterial small subunit ribosomal RNA", at positions 524 to 776 of the family's 1533-position model. The record is from RNAcentral.
UACAGAGGUCUCGAGCGUUGUUCGGAUUCAUUGGGCGUAAAGGGUGCGUAGGUGGCGCUGUAAGUCGGGUGUGAAAUCCUGAGGCUUAACCUCGGAACUGCAUUCGAUACUGCGGCGCUUGAGGACUGGAGAGGAGACUGGAAUUCAUGGUGUAGCAGUGAAAUGCGUAGAGAUCAUGAGGAAGACCAGUGGCGAAGGCGGGUCUCUGGACAGUAACUGACGCUGAGGAGCGAAAGCGUGGGGAGCGAACAGG